Molecule: ribosomal RNA, 267 nt
Filed under: uncultured Gammaproteobacteria bacterium
Lineage: Bacteria; Pseudomonadati; Pseudomonadota; Gammaproteobacteria
Description: partial 16S ribosomal RNA
Rfam family: Bacterial small subunit ribosomal RNA
Source: RNAcentral
CCUGGCGGUAGGCUUAACACAUGCAAGUCGAGCGAGAAAGUAUCUUCGGAUGCGAGUAUAGCGGCGGACGGGUGAGUAACGCGUAGGAAUCUACCUAGUAGAAGGGGAUAGCCCGAGGAAGCUCGGAUUAAUACCGUAUACCUCCUUUGGGAGAAAGAGGGCCUCUCUUGAUGCUCUCGCUAUUAGAUGAGCCUGCGUAAGAUUAGCUUGUUGGUAAGGUAAUGGCUUACCAAGGCUACGAUCUUUAGCUGGUCUGAGAGGACGAUC